GGUUAACCGUAUAGGGGAGCCGAAGGGAAACCGAGUCUUAACUGGGCGUUAAGUUGCAGGGUAUAGACCCGAAACCCGGUGAUCUAGCCAUGGGCAGGUUGAAGGUUGGGUAACACUAACUGGAGGACCGAACCGACUAAUGUUGAAAAAUUAGCGGAUGACCUGUGGCUGGGGGUGAAAGGCCAAUCAAACCGGGAGAUAGCUGGUUCUCCCCGAAAGCUAUUUAGGUAGCGCCUCGUGAAUUCAUCUCCGGGGGUAGAGCACUGUUUCGGCUAGGGGGCCAUCCCGGCUUACCAACCCGAUGCAAACUGCGAAUACCGGAGAAUGUUAUCACGGGAGACACACGGCGGGUGCUAACGUCCGUCGUGAAGAGGGAAACAACCCAGACCGCCAGCUAAGGUCCCAAAGUCAUGGUUAAGUGGGAAACGAUGUGGGAAGGCCCAGACAGCCAGGAUGUUGGCUUAGAAGCAGCCAUCAUUUAAAGAAAGCGUAAUAGCUCACUGGUCGAGUCGGCCUGCGCGGAAGAUGUAACGGGGCUAAACCAUGCACCGAAGCUGCGGCAGCGACGCUUAUGCGUUGUUGGGUAGGGGAGCGUUCUGUAAGCCGUUGAAGGUGUGCUGUGAGGCAUGCUGGAGGUAUCAGAAGUGCGAAUGCUGACAUAAGUAACGAUAAAGCGGGUGAAAAGCCCGCUCGCCGGAAGACCAAGGGUUCCUGUCCAACGUUAAUCGGGGCAGGGUGAGUCGACCCCUAAGGCGAGGCCGAAAGGCGUAGUCGAUGGGAAACAGGUUAAUAUUCCUGUACUUGGUGUUACUGCGAAGGGGGGACGGAGAAGGCUAUGUCGGCCGGGCGACGGUUGUCCCGGUUUAAGCGUGUAGGUGUGUGCUCCAGGCAAAUCCGGUGCACUUUAACACUGAGGCGUGAUGACGAGGCACUACGGUGCUGAAGUGACAAAUGCCCUGCUUCCAGGAAAAGCCUCUAAGCAUCAGGUAACACGAAAUCGUACCCCAAACCGACACAGGUGGUCAGGUAGAGAAUACCAAGGCGCUUGAGAGAACUCGGGUGAAGGAACUAGGCAAAAUGGUGCCGUAACUUCGGGAGAAGGCACGCUGAUAUGUAGGUGAAGUGGUUUACCCAUGGAGCUGAAAUCAGUCGAAGAUACCAGCUGGCUGCAACUGUUUAUUAAAAACACAGCACUGUGCAAACACGAAAGUGGACGUAUACGGUGUGACGCCUGCCCGGUGCCGGAAGGUUAAUUGAUGGGGUUAUCCCUCGGGAGAAGCUCUUGAUCGAAGCCCCGGUAAACGGCGGCCGUAACUAUAACGGUCCUAAGGUAGCGAAAUUCCUUGUCGGGUAAGUUCCGACCUGCACGAAUGGCGUAAUGAUGGCCAGGCUGUCUCCACCCGAGACUCAGUGAAAUUGAACUCGCUGUGAAGAUGCAGUGUACCCGCGGCAAGACGGAAAGACCCCGUGAACCUUUACUAUAGCUUGACACUGAACACUGGUCCUUGAUGUGUAGGAUAGGUGGGAGGCUUUGAAGUGUGGACGCCAGUCUGCAUGGAGCCGCCCUUGAAAUACCACCCUUUAAUGGCUGGUGUUCUAACGUGGGCCCGUGAUCCGGGUUGCGGACAGUGUCUGGUGGGUAGUUUGACUGGGGCGGUCUCCUCCUAAAGAGUAACGGAGGAGCACGAAGGUCAGCUAAUCCUGGUCGGACAUCAGGAGGUUAGUGCAAUGGCAUAAGCUGGCUUGACUGCGAGCGUGACGGCGCGAGCAGGUGCGAAAGCAGGUCAUAGUGAUCCGGUGGUUCUGAAUGGAAGGGCCAUCGCUCAACGGAUAAAAGGUACUCCGGGGAUAACAGGCUGAUACCGCCCAAGAGUUCAUAUCGACGGCGGUGUUUGGCACCUCGAUGUCGGCUCAUCACAUCCUGGGGCUGAAGUAGGUCCCAAGGGUAUGGCUGUUCGCCAUUUAAAGUGGUACGCGAGCUGGGUUUAGAACGUCGUGAGACAGUUCGGUCCCUAUCUGCCGUGGGCGCUGGAGAACUGAGGGGGGCUGCUCCUAGUACGAGAGGACCGGAGUGGACGCAUCACUGGUGUUCGGGUUGUCAUGCCAAUGGCACUGCCCGGUAGCUAAAUGCGGAAGAGAUAAGUGCUGAAAGCAUCUAAGCACGAAACUUGCCCCGAGAUGAGUUCUCCCUGACUCCUUGAGAGUCCUGAAGGAACGUUGAAGACGACGACGUUGAUAGGCCGGGUGUGUAAGCGCAGCGAUGCGUUGAGCUAACCGGUACUAAUGAACCGUGAGGCUUAACCUU
Molecule: ribosomal RNA, 2305 nt
Filed under: Citrobacter sp. CK180
Lineage: Bacteria; Pseudomonadati; Pseudomonadota; Gammaproteobacteria; Enterobacterales; Enterobacteriaceae
Description: partial 23S ribosomal RNA
Rfam family: Bacterial large subunit ribosomal RNA
Source: RNAcentral